Molecule: non-coding RNA, 240 nt
Organism: Macaca mulatta (Rhesus monkey)
Lineage: Eukaryota; Metazoa; Chordata; Mammalia; Primates; Cercopithecidae
Source: RefSeq, a predicted model, not a curated record
AGGGAGCAUAUUAGCAUAGGGGGCGGGGCUUUCAGGCUGCGGCGAGGUGCGCCCGAGGAGAGGCGGGUGCUCAUUAGCAUAGGGAGCGAGACCCUCAGGCCGCGGCUAGGAAGAAGAUAACUAGGGAUGUCCAGCGGCUUGCGCAGAUCAAGAUAGAGCCAAGCGGGGCCAGCGAAUCCCUGCCUUGCCAUGGGAUGGGUUUUCAAGCCAGGUCUGGACAGCUUAUAAGAAAAAACCGCC